This 21-nucleotide non-coding RNA is filed under the name Sclerotinia sclerotiorum. Lineage: Eukaryota; Fungi; Ascomycota; Leotiomycetes; Helotiales; Sclerotiniaceae. The record is from RNAcentral.
UAGAGAUGAUGAACCCCAAGU